UACGUAGGGGGCGAGCGUUGUCCGGAUUUAUUGGGCGUAAAGAGCGUGUAGGCGGCCAGGUAGGUCUGCUGUGAAAACUCGAGGCUCAACCUCGAGCUGUCGGCGGAAACUGUCUGGCUAGAGUCCGGAAGAGGAGAGUGGAAUUCCUGGUGUAGCGGUGAAAUGCGCAGAUAUCAGGAGGAACACCGGUGGCGAAGGCGGUUCUCUGGGCCUGACCUGACGCUGAGGAGCGAAAGCGUGGGGAGCGAACAGG
RNAcentral lists this ribosomal RNA (253 nucleotides) under uncultured bacterium. Its description in RNAcentral is "partial 16S ribosomal RNA". It matches the Rfam family "Bacterial small subunit ribosomal RNA", at positions 524 to 776 of the family's 1533-position model. The record is from RNAcentral.